ACAGGCUGGGCAGCUGGCACAGAGGUUCCCACACAUGGCUUGCUGCAGGACCACAUGGAAGCCAGUAUGUGAAGCAGCAUGGCUCCAGAAAAGCAGAAAAUAGGAUUGGGAAGCAGCAUGGCUCCAGGGGCAUGGAGAAGGACCCAGGGCAUGGCCCAUCACCUGCAGUAUUGAAACGUCAUGCUGGACUUGAGACCUGGAGUGGCUCUUGAUGAGCUAGUUAUUGAGGCAGACUCUGACCUGGGUUGGCUCCCAGAGCCUUACGCCUUUUGCAUCUUAAACCACUUUCUGGCUGGGCUCAGGCUGUAGAGGCCCAGGGUCCGCAGUGUCUCCUGUGAGUCCUUUAGCCUGUGCAGUUGUGUGUCUGUUCAGCAAACAGAGCCUGGAUGCCAAACGGAAGAUCCUGUAUUGACUGUUGGAUCUCCAUUGAUAGACCAGAUGAAUGCAGCCAGGAUGCCCUGCUCAGAGACAGUGGAGGUCAUGGUUCUGGCUGCGGAGUCUGCUGCAUCUGAGGCCGCCUGGAGGGCUGCUCUGGCUACUGCUUCGCCCUUUUUAAGGAUCCCACGGAACUCCUUCUUGGGGUCCUCAGGCAGCAAAUCCUCGAACUUGGCCAUGGAUUGCCACAUAUUAAAGUCGUAGUGGCCAAGCAGGGCCUGGUAGUUGACCACUCGCAAUUGAAGUCUUGAGGACAAAUAAGUUUUUCUUCCAAAUAAAAUCGAACCUCUGAGUCUUUGGUUUUUGGGGUUGCACCUUGUUGGCCUUGCUUUCCCAUAUAUUAAUGGCCAACACCACCAGGGAGCUCGGGGUAGGGUAUGUGUAAAGGUAUUCAUGAUCUUUAGUGGGCACAUAGAUGGGGACAGUGACAAGGGCAUCUGUCACAAGGAUUGUGAUCUUUGCCACCUCCUUGUGCAAGGGCAACACCACCC
Long non-coding RNA from Mauremys reevesii (Reeves's turtle), 926 nucleotides. RefSeq lists it as uncharacterized. NCBI's taxonomy places the organism in Eukaryota, Metazoa, Chordata, Testudines, Geoemydidae. The transcript is spliced from 3 exons. The record is from RefSeq and is a predicted model, not a curated record.